AGUGAACGCUGGCGGUAGGCCUAACACAUGCAAGUCGAACGGCAGCACAGUAAGAGCUUGCUCUUACGGGUGGCGAGUGGCGGACGGGUGAGGAAUACAUCGGAAUCUACUUUUUCGUGGGGGAUAACGUAGGGAAACUUACGCUAAUACCGCAUACGACCUACGGGUGAAAGCAGGGGAUCUUCGGACCUUGCGCGAUUGAAUGAGCCGAUGUCGGAUUAGCUAGUUGGCGGGGUAAAGGCCCACCAAGGCGACGAUCCGUAGCUGGUCUGAGAGGAUGAUCAGCCACACUGGAACUGAGACACGGUCCAGACUCCUACGGGAGGCAGCAGUGGGGAAUAUUGGACAAUGGGCGCAAGCCUGAUCCAGCCAUACCGCGUGAGUGAAGAAGGCCUUCGGGUUGUAAAGCCCUUUUGUUGGGAAAGAAAAGCAGCAGGUUAAUACCCUGCUGUUCUGACGGUACCCAAAGAAUAAGCACCGGCUAACUUCGUG
RNAcentral lists this ribosomal RNA (492 nucleotides) under uncultured bacterium. RNAcentral's name for it is "partial 16S ribosomal RNA". It matches the Rfam family "Bacterial small subunit ribosomal RNA", at positions 29 to 507 of the family's 1533-position model. The record is from RNAcentral.